Molecule: transfer RNA, 76 nt
Filed under: Coxiellaceae bacterium
Lineage: Bacteria; Pseudomonadati; Pseudomonadota; Gammaproteobacteria; Legionellales; Coxiellaceae
Description: tRNA-Gln
Rfam family: tRNA
About the family: Transfer RNA (tRNA) molecules are approximately 80 nucleotides in length. Their secondary structure includes four short double-helical elements and three loops (D, anti-codon, and T loops).
Source: RNAcentral
UGGGGCGUCGCCAAGUUGGUAAGGCACUGGAUUUUGAUUCCAGCAUUCCCAGGUUCGAAUCCUGGCGCCCCAGCCA